UGCAACUAAAUUUCCAUUACUUUCGACAUCAUGAUCUCCUUCAUUUAAUUCCCCCAACAUCUUCUGACAUUCUUUUCCGUCUCUAUCAUUUUCAAUGUCUUUUUCCAUAAUUACUUCCUCCAUAACGUUUCGAUUGCCUUCCAGAGAUUUCUUCGAUUCCAAUCCAAUCGCCGAUUCUGAUUCCGACACACUUUCUUCAACCUCCUACUGUCGUAUCUCCUUUUUCGAGAUAUUGCUUUUAUAUUCUUCCGGCCAUCCCUUUUCUUUUACACUGAUCGGAAAACUAAUAUCUCCCACCUCCAGUAUUACUACUUCAAUUUUUCUCAAUUGUUUGAUUGAAAUCAACAUCUCAAUUUUCUCAUAGUUGGUUGUUUUUGUCAAGUUCUCCCCCAUCGAAACCAAAUUGCCCCAAUUGCCAGCAACCCUUUUGAACUUUUCGUAAUUCCAGCAAUGCAGAGGACUACUCACACACUGGCGCUGGAAGGCCGGAGGCAAUAGGCCUGUGGUGUCUGGCCAGAUGGAGUUCUUGAUUCUGUGAAGACGAUGGCGAUGAUGGAUCGAUUGGCUUAGAAUCAAAAAUACCAGGGUUUUUCUUGACUCAGCUUUGAAAAUGGUGAAGACUUACCGCUCCUCCAGUUAUGGAUUCAAAGCUUCGUUCUCUUCUCUUCCUAAUCUUAAGAUCUUUUUCAGAAGGAGAAGCGAUACGUCUGUUGGCGGAUAUUGGGUUUUGAAAUUAGCUGCAGUUUUUUUGGGUUUAGGGUGGUUUUUCUUAUGCUAUUUUGGUUUUGAUUGUUUUUUAGGUUGUGUUGGCUUUUAGUUUAGGCUUUUUAAUUUCUCUGUCUUUUCAUUUUCUGUUCUGACUAUGUCUUUUCAUCUUUGCCUUAAGCCAUGUAAUUUUAAUAUAUCAACCAAUUUUUCAUGCAAAAAAUAAUAAUAAUAAUAAUGUGGAAUGGGUUUGAAAUUUGUCCUCCAUA
This is a long non-coding RNA of Gossypium raimondii (Peruvian cotton), 974 nucleotides long. RefSeq lists it as uncharacterized. The record is from RefSeq and is a predicted model, not a curated record. Lineage: Eukaryota; Viridiplantae; Streptophyta; Magnoliopsida; Malvales; Malvaceae. The transcript is spliced from 2 exons.